ACUCCUACGGGAGGCAGCAGUGGGGAAUAUUGCACAAUGGGGGAAACCCUGAUGCAGCCAUGCCGCGUGUGUGAAGAAGGCCUUCGGGUUGUAAAGCACUUUCAGUAGGGAGGAAGGUAGUGUAGUUAACACCUGCAUUAUUUGACGUUACCUACAGAAGAAGCACCGGCUAACUCCGUGCCAGCAGCCGCGGUAAUACGGAGGGUGCGAGCGUUAAUCGGAAUUACUGGGCGUAAAGCGCAUGCAGGCGGCUUGUUAAGUCAGAUGUGAAAGCCCGGGGCUUAACCUCGGAAUUGCAUUUGAAACUGGCAGGCUAGAGUCUUGUAGAGGGGGGUAGAAUUUCAGGUGUAGCGGUGAAAUGCGUAGAGAUCUGAAGGAAUACCAGUGGCGAAGGCGGCCCCCUGGACAAAGACUGACGCUCAGAUGCGAAAAGCGUGGGGAGCAAACAGGAUUAGACACCCUGGUAGCACAGAG
Molecule: ribosomal RNA, 474 nt
Filed under: uncultured bacterium
Lineage: Bacteria
Description: bacterial SSU rRNA
Rfam family: Bacterial small subunit ribosomal RNA
Source: RNAcentral